GAUACACAAUCGACCCCCAGGUUAAGGUACAUACAUACUCAUCGCGAUUGGAGUUGCGGCUAUCUAUUUGGCGCUGCAAAUGCUUCGUCGUUACUCUCUAUCCUUUUUCUUCUUUCGGAUAGAAAGUGUUGCGAAGCAUUUGUAACGUCAAAUGGAUCCCGAAUAUCUCGAGACAAACCAGUGUGAUUUUAUUGAUCAAUGCCCACAGAAUGCUAAUCUACGUAAAUAACAGACAGAAAAUGGAACAAAAUACAUAAGCAUAGUUAUAUAAAGUACAGAAAGGUCUCAUAUCUUUAGUAGCGCGUGCCAAAUUUAAUUCGUACGAAUGAUAUGGCGAGAUAUGCAAAUGCGCAUUAUUAUACAGUUGGUAACUAGCAUCUGGUUGCAUAAAAGUUGGCGGGAGAAUGGACACGCUGGAUAAACGGACGGUAAGAUAUCAUAACCAAGAUGUCAUAACUAAAAUGGUGAUUGAAUGUUCACGUGUCUCGUGUUUAAUCCAAAUAUCUCUCGUUUUAAUAUUUUAAUUCGAAUUAUUCAAAUUAUAAUUCAAGUUAUAGUUCCUCUCCUAAUCAAAGUUCUUAUUAAAUACAAUAAAAAUAUUUAAUUGUACAAUAUUACUACACGAUAAAGCACAACUCUUUUGCUCUUUAUAUUGACGAAAAACGGAAAUAAAAUGAAAUAUGCACACGCUACGUAAGAAAAUCGACCAAAAAGGCAAUUAAACUUUUUUCUUUUUAUUCUCUCUCUCUCGGUAUCAUCUCGGAACAAUACAAUACAAAACAAAACUAAAAAUUACUCGACGAUUAAAUCAUUCUACUUGCGAAAAAGAAAAUACGUAUGUAUAAAAUCGAAAGAUAAAGUAAGCAUUGUUUUUAAUGAAAAAUAUAUGCAAGAAAUAAUUCGUUAGAUAUAUAUGCCUAUUUGACUUCAGCUUACAAAGAUUAAUUAGAUAAAAAUCUUAGAUAAAGAACGUUCUCUCACAGAUAAAACAGUGCAGUGACCAGUAAUUGAUAUGAAUCAAGCGAAAUUAGUUUCUUCAAAUGAAGGGACAGAUGUCGCCACUGUAUUAUUGAAUGGAUCCAAUGUAACGGAUUAUUAUUGGUGGAGCACACCUCCACAACGAGGAGGGGAGUGCAGAGCUGUUUUCUUAGCAAAUAUUUUCAUUAAAGCCCCACGGAGGGAGUCUCGAAUAUCUGAAUAGCAAUGGCGAUAUUCGCGGAAGAAAAGAGAAAAGGAGGAGGUGAUGGAAAAAA
Ooceraea biroi (clonal raider ant) is the source of this 1253-nucleotide long non-coding RNA. RefSeq lists it as uncharacterized. Lineage: Eukaryota; Metazoa; Arthropoda; Insecta; Hymenoptera; Formicidae. The record is from RefSeq and is a predicted model, not a curated record.